Molecule: transfer RNA, 83 nt
Filed under: Candidatus Woesearchaeota archaeon
Lineage: Archaea; Nanobdellati; Candidatus Woesearchaeota
Description: tRNA-Phe
Rfam family: tRNA
About the family: Transfer RNA (tRNA) molecules are approximately 80 nucleotides in length. Their secondary structure includes four short double-helical elements and three loops (D, anti-codon, and T loops).
Source: RNAcentral
GCCGGGUCGCAUAAUCCGGUAUUGCACCAGACCGAAACUCUGGACGCCUAACGGCUCUCUGGGUUCGAAUCCCAGCGCCGGCG